RNAcentral lists this ribosomal RNA (509 nucleotides) under uncultured bacterium. RNAcentral describes it as "partial 16S ribosomal RNA". It matches the Rfam family "Bacterial small subunit ribosomal RNA", at positions 28 to 523 of the family's 1533-position model. The record is from RNAcentral.
GACGAACGCUGGCGGCGUGCUUAACACAUGCAAGUGGAGCGACGAACCAGGGCUUGCCCUGGGGCAAAGCCGCGAACGGGUGAGUAACACGUGGGUAACCUGCCCCGAAGACCGGGACAACCCGAGGAAACUCGGGCUAAUACCGGAUGUGGUCACUCUUCAUAAGGAGAGAGAGCAAAGGAAGCUUCGGCCUCCGCCUCGGGAUGGGCCCGCGGCCCAUUAGCUUGUUGGUGAGGUAACGGCUCACCAAGGCUUCGAUGGGUAGCUGGUCUGAGAGGACGAUCAGCCACACUGGGACUGAGACACGGCCCAGACUCCUACGGGAGGCAGCAGUGGGGAAUCUUGCGCAAUGGGCGACAGCCUGACGCAGCAACGCCGCGUGAGGGAAGAAGGCUUUCGGGUCGUAAACCUCUUUCAGGAGGGACGAAGCUUCGGGAGUGAAUAGCUUUCCGGAGUGACGGUACUUCCACAAGAAGCCCCGGCUAACUACGUGCCAGCCGCCGCAGUAA